This 72-nucleotide transfer RNA is filed under the name Desmophyllum pertusum. RNAcentral describes it as "Lophelia pertusa tRNA". It matches the Rfam family "tRNA". Rfam says of the family: Transfer RNA (tRNA) molecules are approximately 80 nucleotides in length. Their secondary structure includes four short double-helical elements and three loops (D, anti-codon, and T loops). Lineage: Eukaryota; Metazoa; Cnidaria; Anthozoa; Scleractinia; Caryophylliidae. The record is from Rfam by way of RNAcentral.
GGCUUGAUAGCUCAGUGUAAGAACAUUGCACCGGCGUCGCAAGGUCCUGGGUUCGAAGUCCCGUUCAAGCCU